This is a long non-coding RNA of Rosa rugosa (rugosa rose), 1146 nucleotides long. RefSeq lists it as uncharacterized. The record is from RefSeq and is a predicted model, not a curated record. The transcript has 3 exons. Lineage: Eukaryota; Viridiplantae; Streptophyta; Magnoliopsida; Rosales; Rosaceae.
UUUUUGGUAUUGACCUGAAGCACCUGGAUUUUUUUGGGUUUUAAUUCGUUGUUUUAUUUAGUUUCUUCUGGGUUUUAUGCUUGCUUGCGAAAUCGAGCAAACAUAGAAUUAGACAGAACCCAAGCAAUAGUUGAAUUAGAAAAAAUUCAGAGGAAGAGGAAUUUAGAAAGAAGGAGAAGAGGGAUUUGAAGCCGGUUUUGCCCUUCGUCGUCGGUGAAUUAGGAUUUGGUUUCGACAGUACCGAAUUUGUGGCUUUAGCGAGUUUGACAAGAGUUUGUGUGUAAGUUUUCUGCUUCUGCUGCUAUUGCUUUUGUCAGUUUUUGUGUGAUUCGGUUUUUGAGUGGGUCUUUUGUUGUUGGUGGUUUUGAAUUGGUAUGGGUUUCUGCGUUUUGGGGGGUUUUGUUUGUCUGCGGGUCUAGGUUGUUGAUUAUUGAUUGGAGAGGUUUCAAGUUAUGAUUUUACUGUAUGUUAUAUCGGUGGGGAAGUUAUUAGAAUCUCUUAGAUUGUUGGUUGUUCUGGAAUUGAAGGCUUAAUAAUAGAAUCUAACAUGUAAAUGCAUAUGCAUGUAAUUCUUUAAAUUCCAACUUCUGAUAUCCAUAUUGAGUUGAUAAAACCGUUUCUAUUAUCUACGUACAUUAACCCAAAGCAGUCUCUUAACCCAAAACCCAAUCCAAUUUAAGAUUACGAGGUUAUUGAGUCGGCCUCUUGCUUCGUUUUGGUUUGUUUCUUACUUUCAGUCAGUUUUUUUUUCUUUUUUCUUUUUUCCUAUGUCAUUGUACAUUGUUUUUAACCAGCAAAUUGAUAUAUGUUUGUUGUCUUAGAAGUUCGUCUCUUUCUGUUUUGAAAUUGUGAUUGUCCCAAUAUUCUGAUGGCUUGGAGAUUUAUUUGUCUGGUAUGAAUGCGAAACAAGAAUCAUUGACAAAGUUCCAGUGGUGAUCAUGUGGUCAGAGAACAUCCUCAGUUGAAUCGAUAGAAAAGCAGCUUCCAAGAGCCGUACUUGAAAUCAAGAGCCUGGAUGUGUUCUGAUCAUCAUUAUUAUAUCCUCAGGCUGUUGAGAAGGCUUCACAAACUGAUAAGCUGUUUGCGCUUCUCCAAACAACAUUCAUAAUUUUCAAAAGUAGAAUACUUAACUGUCAUUAAGAUUUC